UGCGCAGGCGGAAGAAUAAGUCAGUGGUGAAAUACUGCCGCUCAACGGUAGGGCUGCCAUUGAUACUGUUUUUCUUGAGUAUGGUUGAGGUAGGCGGAAUGUGCGGUGUAGCGGUGAAAUGCAUAGAUAUCGCCCAGAACGCCGAUUGCGAAGGCAGCUUACUAAGCCAUUACUGACGCUGAGGCACGAAAGCGUGGGUAGCGAACAGGAUUAGAUACCCUGGUAGUCC
This 229-nucleotide ribosomal RNA is filed under the name uncultured bacterium. Its description in RNAcentral is "partial 16S ribosomal RNA". It matches the Rfam family "Bacterial small subunit ribosomal RNA", at positions 568 to 796 of the family's 1533-position model. The record is from RNAcentral.